Molecule: long non-coding RNA, 480 nt
Organism: Erinaceus europaeus (western European hedgehog)
Lineage: Eukaryota; Metazoa; Chordata; Mammalia; Eulipotyphla; Erinaceidae
Exons: 3
Source: RefSeq, a predicted model, not a curated record
GUGGUGACCAUAAGAAGACAAGUCAUGGAGAAUCCAAAGAGGAUAAGAGCUGAACCAAGUCCUGUGAGAAUUGGUGCUGGCUGGUGGCGCACUUGGUUGAGUGUACACAGUACAGUUUUCUGUCAUUAUCAUGUCUGCCCAGAAGACUGAGAUGGCUCACCAGGUUCCAGAUGCCAUCAGGAUGCUGGCCAGGCUUCCCUGGAUUGAAGACCCCACCAAUGUGUCCUGGAGCUCGGCUUCCCCAGAGACCCACCCUACUAGGGAAAGAGAAAGGCAGACUGGGAGUAUGGACUGACCAGUCAACGCCCAUGUUCAGUGGGGAAGCAAUUACAGAAGCCAGACCUUCUACCUUCUGCAACCCACAAUGACCCUGGGUCCAUGCUCCCAGAGGGAUAGAUAAUGGGAAAGCUAUCAGGGGAGGGGGUGGGAUAUGGAGAUUGGGUGGUGGGAAUUGUGUGGAGUUGUACCCCUUCUACCCUA